Molecule: ribosomal RNA, 431 nt
Filed under: uncultured bacterium
Lineage: Bacteria
Description: bacterial SSU rRNA
Rfam family: Bacterial small subunit ribosomal RNA
Source: RNAcentral
AACGAACGCUGGCGGCAGGCCUAACACAUGCAAGUCGAACGCCCCGCAAGGGGAGUGGCAGACGGGUGAGUAACACGUGGGAACCUUCCCUAUAGUAUGGAAUAGCCCAGGGAAACUUGGAGUAAUACCGUAUACGCCCGAAAGGGGAAAGAUUUAUCGCUAUAGGAUGGGCCCGCGUAGGAUUAGCUAGUUGGUGAGGUAAUGGCUCACCAAGGCGACGAUCCUUAGCUGGUUUGAGAGAACGACCAGCCACACUGGGACUGAGACACGGCCCAGACUCCUACGGGAGGCAGCAGUGGGGAAUAUUGGACAAUGGGCGCAAGCCUGAUCCAGCCAUGCCGCGUGAGUGAUGAAGGCCUUAGGGUUGUAAAGCUCUUUUGCCGGGGACGAUAAUGACGGUACCCGGAGAAUAAGUCCCGGCUAACUUCGUG